ACUGCACCUUUAUUUCUCUGUUUCCCCGGAAUUCUCAGCUGCCAAAACCUGAAAUAAUUUUUUAGGAUGCUGGUUUCUGAUUUAAUAUCUUAAACUUGCUGCAGAUGUUGGGGAUGUGCGCGCAUCUGGUUAGUGUUGCUGUCAUAAACGGUCCUCAUUCAAUUACUGGAAAUGCGGUUGGAUUCAAACCCAAUAUAUUGGACAUGGACAUAAUGGAAAGAGUUAUUGAGAUGCUGAGUUUAGAGAUACUGGAUUGAAACGGUCUGAAAAGUUGGCAAAAGAUUUGGAGUGGUUGAAGGAGCAAGGCCAUGCCAUACCAGAACCUUCUGCUCCUGGUGUAAACUAUGCUCAGUAUCUUAAGGAACUGUCGGAGAAGGAUCGUCAAGCAUUUUUCUGCCACUUCUACAAUAUGUACUUUGCUCAUUCAGCUGGUGGACGAAUGAUUGGGAAAAAGUUGUCCAUUGAGGAGUAGAGGAGAACGCAGACAUCAUGCCUAGAAUUAAGGCUGCCAAGAAUUUUCUUUUCUCAUUAAGUGGUUGGAUUAGAAUUACUGUUAUUGUAUAUUAAUUUUAAUAUUUUUUUUAAUUUGAAAUAUUGGCAGUCACUAUUUUUCAGAUUGGUGGGUGUAUUGUAUAUUAUAACAAUGCAAAAAUCAAGUCACCAAUAAAUACAUCAGAUUGCUGUCUAGUUGUGGGACCCACAAUUUGUAAGUCACCAAAAAAGUAAUAGUGACAUCUUGGGUAUAUGUCACGGCAGCAAUGGGCACCAUUCACUAAAUGGUAACUAGAGGGGUGUCUAUUGCUCUUCAACACCAUUGAUUGGUGUCUAUAGAUCCAAUACACACCAUUAUCAAUGGUGUUCUUAGGUCAGUUUUGUG
Molecule: long non-coding RNA, 877 nt
Organism: Rosa rugosa (rugosa rose)
Lineage: Eukaryota; Viridiplantae; Streptophyta; Magnoliopsida; Rosales; Rosaceae
Exons: 4
Source: RefSeq, a predicted model, not a curated record